This 233-nucleotide unclassified non-coding RNA is filed under the name uncultured fungus. RNAcentral describes it as "sequence contains ITS1, 5.8S rRNA gene". The stretch from base 185 to 233 matches the Rfam family "5.8S ribosomal RNA", at positions 1 to 49 of the family's 154-position model. Lineage: Eukaryota; Fungi. The record is from RNAcentral.
UCUCCGUAGGUGAACCUGCGGAGGGAUCAUUACCGAGUGAGGGUUCACAGCCCGACCUCCCACCCUUUGUGAUUAUACCAUGUUUCCUCGGGGGUUACCUCGCGCCCUCGCGGCGAGAGGGCCCCCGGCGGACAAUUCAUUAACUCUGCGUCUCAUGCGUCAGUUUAAUUGAUAAAUAUAUUAAAACUUUCAACAACGGAUCUCUUGGUUCUGGCAUCGAUGAAGAACGCAGC